RNAcentral lists this ribosomal RNA (254 nucleotides) under uncultured bacterium. Its description in RNAcentral is "partial 16S ribosomal RNA". It matches the Rfam family "Bacterial small subunit ribosomal RNA", at positions 524 to 776 of the family's 1533-position model. The record is from RNAcentral.
GACGGAGGGUGCUAGCGUUGUUCGGAAUCACUGGGCGUAAAGGGCGCGUAGGCGGCCAGGCAAGUCGGCUUGUGAAAGCCCGGGGCUCAACCCCGGAGGUGCGGCCGGGACUGCUUGGCUGGAGGCCGGAAGAGGAGGGUGGAAUACCCAGUGUAGAGGUGAAAUUCGUAGAUAUUGGGUGGAACACCGGUGGCGAAAGCGGCUCUCUGGUCCGGACCUGACGCUGAGGCGCGAAAGCGUGGGGAGCGAACAGG